RNAcentral lists this long non-coding RNA (764 nucleotides) under Vulpes vulpes (red fox). Its description in RNAcentral is "lncRNA (ENSVVUG00000028821.1)". The record is from RNAcentral. Lineage: Eukaryota; Metazoa; Chordata; Mammalia; Carnivora; Canidae.
GGGUACAUGGCCUUAUACAAAUUUUUUUAAUUUCUCAUUAAAAGAGUGGGAAAGUUAUUCAAAAUGGAUGACUAAAAUUUCUUUUUGAUUCAGAAUUCUCCAGCACACCAUCCAUUGUGACAGGAAAGAAUAGAAAGACAUCAAGAAGCAAGGACCGAUGGAAAGUCGUAGUUAAGGAGGAAGCAGUACCAUGUGCCUCCUAAAACUAGAUCAUAAAGGCAGUAACAUUCCUUUUCAUCUGCCAUGCUGUGAGGAAACCCUAACUGAAGAACAUGAGGAAACCACAUGGAGAGGCCAGAUGGAGGCACUUAACGACUGAUGAAAGUGGGACAGUUUGCUUCAAAUGAUUCAGAAGCAUAAAUAGGACUAACAUAAUUGAAUGGGCUUUUCCCCUAUUCUGGGAGAAUGAGCAUCAAUUCCAUCUUUUUUGGAGGAAUUAAACAAAGGUGUGAACAACUGAAGAGAAGGAGCGUGGAGUCCUCUCCCAAGGAGAGCCUGAGUAGCCAGGUGGGUAGCUUACAGGCAAGCACAGUUCCAAGAAACAACAACAACAACAACAACAACAGAACCAAAAAAGAUCUAAGCUUGCCCACAGCAACAAGGUUUGUUUAUCACAAAAGACUUCUUUCCAUUAUGUUGUUUAAAUUUCUAAUUUGGUAGCCAUCAAAUUAGAAGCACUGAGGUAUGUUAAUUGAAGUGUCUUCUGCCAAAUUCCUGAGAGCAUAUAGAUAUGAAUAUUUUAUUACAAAGGAUUCGGGGCAAAG